AUACGGAGGGGGUUAGCGUUGUUCGGAAUUACUGGGCGUAAAGCGUACGUAGGCGGACUGGAAAGUUGGGGGUGAAAUCCCGGGGCUCAACCCCGGAACUGCCUCCAAAACUUCCAAUCUAGAGAUCGAGAGAGGUGAGUGGAAUUCCAAGUGUAGAGGUGAAAUUCGUAGAUAUUUGGAGGAACACCAGUGGCGAAGGCGGCUCACUGGCUCGAUACUGACGCUGAGGCGCGAAAGCGUGGGGAGCAAACAGGAUUAGAAACCCUAGUAGUCC
This 274-nucleotide ribosomal RNA is filed under the name uncultured bacterium. Its description in RNAcentral is "partial 16S ribosomal RNA". It matches the Rfam family "Bacterial small subunit ribosomal RNA", at positions 523 to 796 of the family's 1533-position model. The record is from RNAcentral.